CCUAGAGUUGUAGGCUUUGCCUGCUAUCUCUUACCCAUGUCUUUUGAGUACCUUACGCUUCCUCGGUGGGUUCGCCCACCGAUUGGACAAACUUAAACCCUUUGCAGUUGAAAUCAGCGUCUGAAAAAACUUAAUAGUUA
Molecule: unclassified non-coding RNA, 140 nt
Filed under: soil metagenome
Description: partial internal transcribed spacer 1
Source: RNAcentral